RNAcentral lists this non-coding RNA (28 nucleotides) under Homo sapiens (human). The record is from RNAcentral. Lineage: Eukaryota; Metazoa; Chordata; Mammalia; Primates; Hominidae.
UGUGGCCUCGCACAUCUGGAUGCACUGU